This is a long non-coding RNA of Maniola jurtina (meadow brown), 72 nucleotides long. RefSeq lists it as uncharacterized. Lineage: Eukaryota; Metazoa; Arthropoda; Insecta; Lepidoptera; Nymphalidae. The record is from RefSeq and is a predicted model, not a curated record. The transcript has 3 exons.
CGCGCGAGCGAGAACACUCGCAUGCUUGCGUGUUAGAAAGGGAAAACAUCUAGUUCAAUUAGAGUAUUAUAG